AGCGAACGCUGGCGGCAGGCCUAACACAUGCAAGUCGAACGAACCUUUCGGGGUUAGUGGCGGACGGGUGAGUAACACGUGGGAACGUGCCUUUAGGUUCGGAAUAACUCAGGGAAACUUGUGCUAAUACCGAAUGUGCCCUUCGGGGGAAAGAUUUAUCGCCUUUAGAGCGGCCGGCGUCUGAUUAGCUAGUUGGUUGAGGUAAUGGCGCACCAAGGCGACGAUCUGUAGCUGGUCUGAGAGGAUGAUCAGCCACAUUGGGACUGAGACACGGCCCAAACUCCUACGGGAGGCAGCAGUGGGGAAUCUUGCGAAAUGGGCGAAAGCCUGACGCAGCCAUGCCGCGUGAAUGAUGAAGGUCUUAGGAUUGUAAAAUUCUUUCACCGGGGACGAUAAUGACGGUACCCGGAGAAGAAGCCCCGGCUAACUUCGUG
This 434-nucleotide ribosomal RNA is filed under the name uncultured bacterium. RNAcentral describes it as "partial 16S ribosomal RNA". It matches the Rfam family "Bacterial small subunit ribosomal RNA", at positions 29 to 507 of the family's 1533-position model. The record is from RNAcentral.